GACGAACGCUGGCGGCGUGCUUAACACAUGCAAGUCGAACGGAAAGGCCUGCUUUCCCUUGUGGAUUGCGGGUACUCGAGUGGCGAACGGGUGAGUAACACGUGAGUGAUCUGCCCCCAACUUGGGUAUAAGCCUGGGAAACUGGGUCUAAUUCCCGAUAGGACUGCAGGGUGGUGCCUGUGGUGGAAAACGAUUUUCUAGUGGUUGGGGAUGAGCUCGCGGCCUAUCAGCUUGUUGGUGGGGUAAUGGCCUACCAAGGCGGCGACGGGUAGCCGGCCUGAGAGGGUGGACGGCGACAUUGGGACUGGGAUACGGCCCAGACGCCUACGGGAGGCAGCAGUGGGGAAUAAUGCACAAUGGGCGGAAGCCUGAUGCAGCGACGCCGCGUGGGGGAUGACGGCCUUCGGGUUGUAAACUCCUUUCGACCGAGAGGAAGCCACCUGGUUGGAAGGGUGGUGACGGUAGUGGUAGAAGAAGCACCGGCUAACUACGUG
This 494-nucleotide ribosomal RNA is filed under the name uncultured bacterium. Its description in RNAcentral is "partial 16S ribosomal RNA". It matches the Rfam family "Bacterial small subunit ribosomal RNA", at positions 28 to 507 of the family's 1533-position model. The record is from RNAcentral.